GAACGGCAGCACGGUCUAGCUUGCUAGAUGGGUGGCGAGUGGCGAACGGGUGAGUAACGCGUAGGAAUAUGCCUUGAAGUUUGGGAUAACAUGGGGAAACUCAUGCUAAUACCGGAUGAGCUCGAGAGAGGAAAGCUGGGGACCUUAGGGCCUGGCGCUUUAAGAUUAGCCUGCGUCCGAUUAGCUAGUUGGUAGGGUAAAGGCCUACCAAGGCGACGAGCGGUAGCUGGUCUGAGAGGAUGACCAGCCACACUGGGACUGAGACACGGCCCAGACUCCUACGGGAGGCAGCAGUGGGGAAUAUUGGACAAUGGGGGGAACCCUGAUCCAGCAAUGCCGCGUGUGUGAAGAAGGCCUGAGGGUUGUAAAGCACUUUCAGUGGGGAGGAGGAAUGAUUGGUUAAGAGCUGAUUAGUUGGACGUUACCCACAGCAAGAAACACCGGCUAACUCCGUGCCAGCAGCCGCGGUAAU
RNAcentral lists this ribosomal RNA (472 nucleotides) under uncultured bacterium. RNAcentral describes it as "bacterial SSU rRNA". It matches the Rfam family "Bacterial small subunit ribosomal RNA", at positions 64 to 524 of the family's 1533-position model. The record is from RNAcentral.